Molecule: ribosomal RNA, 363 nt
Filed under: uncultured bacterium
Lineage: Bacteria
Description: bacterial SSU rRNA
Rfam family: Bacterial small subunit ribosomal RNA
Source: RNAcentral
GACGAACGCUGGCGGCAGGCCUAACACAUGCAAGUCGAACGAGAUCUUCGGAUCUAGUGGCGGACGGGUGAGUAACACGUAAGAAUUUACCUUUAGGAGGGGGAUAACAACGAGAAAUUGUUGCUAAUACCCCAUAUGCUUUCGAGUGAAAUGGAUUUUUCCGCCUAGAGAGAAGCUUGCGCCUGAUUAGCUUGUUGGUAAGGUAAUGGCUUACCAAGGCGACGAUCAGUAUCUGGUUUGAGAGGAUGAUCAGACACACUGGAACUGAGACACGGUCCAGACUCCUACGGGAGCAGCAGUGGGAAUUUUCCGCAAUGGGCGAAAGCCUGACGGAGCAAUCUCGCGUGAGGGAUGACGGCCUAU